UACGUAGGGUGCGAGCGUUGUCCGGAAUUACUGGGCGUAAAGAGCUCGUAGGUGGUUUGUCGCGUUGUUCGUGAAAACUCACAGCUCAACUGUGGGCGUGCGGGCGAUACGGGCAGACUGGAGUACUGCAGGGGAGACUGGAAUUCCUGGUGUAGCGGUGGAAUGCGCAGAUAUCAGGAGGAACACCGGUGGCGAAGGCGGCAUCCUGGACCGAAACUGACGCUGAGGAGCGAAAGCCAGGGGAGCAAACGGG
Molecule: ribosomal RNA, 253 nt
Filed under: uncultured bacterium
Lineage: Bacteria
Description: partial 16S ribosomal RNA
Rfam family: Bacterial small subunit ribosomal RNA
Source: RNAcentral